RNAcentral lists this ribosomal RNA (253 nucleotides) under uncultured bacterium. Its description in RNAcentral is "partial 16S ribosomal RNA". It matches the Rfam family "Bacterial small subunit ribosomal RNA", at positions 524 to 776 of the family's 1533-position model. The record is from RNAcentral.
GACGUAGGGCGCGAGCGUUGUCCGGAUUUAUUGGGCGUAAAGAGCUCGUAGGCGGCUUGUCGCGUCGAAUGUGAAAACUUGGGGCUCAACUCCAAGCUUGCAUUCGAUACGGGCAGGCUAGAGUUCGGUAGGGGAGACUGGAAUUCCUGGUGUAGCGGUGAAAUGCGCAGAUAUCAGGAGGAACACCGGUGGCGAAGGCGGGUCUCUGGGCCGAUACUGACGCUGAGACGCGAAAGCGUGGGGAGCAAACAGG